AUGACUAAAGCUAAGAGGGCUGGCGGCAUUGGGUUCAGGGAUAUGCAUCUAUUUAACCAAGCACUUCUCGCGAAACAAGGAUGGAGGCUAAUCCAAAACCCGGACAGUCUCUAUGCGAGAGUGCUGAAAUCGAAAUACUACCCCAAUGGUAAUUUGUUGGAUACUGUCUUUGCAUCGGACGCAUCCCCGGUGUGGAGAGCCAUAGAGUUUGGACUUCAGCUCUUGAAGAAGGGGCUUAUCUGGAGGGUAGGAGAUGGCAGAAACAUACAAAUCCAACGGGACCAAUGGCUUCCGAGAAGAGAGGGCCUAUUGACUGCAAAUUUCAUCAGGAGGUCUCGACUGAGGUGGGUCAAACAACUUAUACUACCGGAUAGAAAAGAGUGGAAUACAGAGCUCAUCCGACAAAUCUUAUACCGCUUCGAUGCUGAUGAGAUUUGCAGGAUCCCAAUCCUGGCCUCGGGGGCUGUGGGCAUGGUAGCAUGGCACCAUGAGAGAAACGGAGUCUUCUCGGUGAAGAGUGCUUACAAGCUUGCUGAAAAUUUGGCUAAACAGAGCCUCAAUCCUUAA
Molecule: ribosomal RNA, 567 nt
Filed under: Triticum aestivum (bread wheat)
Lineage: Eukaryota; Viridiplantae; Streptophyta; Magnoliopsida; Poales; Poaceae
Description: partial small subunit ribosomal RNA
Source: RNAcentral